RNAcentral lists this ribosomal RNA (377 nucleotides) under uncultured Acidobacteriota bacterium. RNAcentral's name for it is "bacterial SSU rRNA". It matches the Rfam family "Bacterial small subunit ribosomal RNA", at positions 521 to 896 of the family's 1533-position model. Lineage: Bacteria; Pseudomonadati; Acidobacteriota. The record is from RNAcentral.
UAAUACGGGGGGGGCAAGCGUUGUUCGGAUUUACUGGGCGUAAAGGGCGCGUAGGCGGUUUGUUAAGUCGGAUGUGAAAACUGUGGGCUCAACCCACAGCCUGCAUCCGAUACUGGCAGACUAGAGUGCGAGAGGGGGAGGCGGAAUUCCUGGUGUAGCGGUGAAAUGCGUAGAUAUCAGGAGGAACACCGGCGGCGAAGGCGGCCUUCUGGAUCGCAACUGACGCUGAGGCGCGAAAGCUAGGGGAGCAAACAGGAUUAGAUACCCUGGUAGUCCUAGCCCUAAACGAUGGAUACUUGGUGUGGGGGGAGUUGAGUCUUUCCGUGCCGGAGCUAACGCGUUAAGUAUCCCGCCUGGGGAGUACGGUCGCAAGGCUG